This 464-nucleotide ribosomal RNA is filed under the name uncultured bacterium. RNAcentral describes it as "bacterial SSU rRNA". It matches the Rfam family "Bacterial small subunit ribosomal RNA", at positions 338 to 795 of the family's 1533-position model. The record is from RNAcentral.
CCUACGGGGCGCAGCAGCAGGGAAUAUUGCACAAUGGGCGCAAGCCUGAUGCAGCCAUGCCGCGUGCAUGAAGAAGGCCUUCGGGUUGUAAAGUACUUUCAGUCGGGAGGAAGGUGGUGAGCUUAAUACGCUCAUCAAUUGACGUUACCGACAGAAGAAGCACCGGCUAACUCCGUGCCAGCAGCCGCGGUAAUACGGAGGGUGCAAGCGUUAAUCGGAAUUACUGGGCGUAAAGCGCACGCAGGCGGUUGAUUGAGUCAGAUGUGAAAUCCCCGGGCUUAACCCGGGAAUUGCAUCUGAUACUGGUCAGCUAGAGUCUUGUAGAGGGGGUAGAAUUCCAUGUGAAGCGGUGAAAUGCGUAGAGAUGUGGAGGAAUACCGGUGGCGAAGGCGGCCCCCUGGACAAAGACUGACGCUCAGGUGCGAAAGCGUGGGGAGCAAACAGGAUUAGAUACCCCAGUAGUC